UCCUCAUUUCACGAACUCUCUCACCGCUCAGAGAGGCGAGAGAGCACGCGAAAUGAGGAGA
Pristionchus pacificus is the source of this 61-nucleotide non-coding RNA. NCBI's taxonomy places the organism in Eukaryota, Metazoa, Nematoda, Chromadorea, Rhabditida, Neodiplogasteridae. The record is from Rfam.